CUGGUCUGAGAGGAUGACCAGCCACACUGGAACUGAGACACGGUCCAGACUCCUACGGGAGGCAGCAGUGGGGAAUAUUGCACAAUGGGCGCAAGCCUGAUGCAGCCAUGCCGCGUGUAUGAAGAAGGCCUUCGGGUUGUAAAGUACUUUCAG
This 153-nucleotide ribosomal RNA is filed under the name Cronobacter muytjensii 530. Its description in RNAcentral is "Small Subunit Ribosomal RNA; ssuRNA; SSU rRNA". It matches the Rfam family "Bacterial small subunit ribosomal RNA", at positions 287 to 439 of the family's 1533-position model. Lineage: Bacteria; Pseudomonadati; Pseudomonadota; Gammaproteobacteria; Enterobacterales; Enterobacteriaceae. The record is from RNAcentral.